GCGAGAUAGCUCAGCUGGCUAGAGCGUCCGGUUCAUACCCAGAAGGUCGGGGGUUCGAUCCCCUCUCUCGC
This 71-nucleotide transfer RNA is filed under the name bovine gut metagenome. It matches the Rfam family "tRNA". Rfam says of the family: Transfer RNA (tRNA) molecules are approximately 80 nucleotides in length. Their secondary structure includes four short double-helical elements and three loops (D, anti-codon, and T loops). The record is from RNAcentral.